Molecule: ribosomal RNA, 253 nt
Filed under: uncultured bacterium
Lineage: Bacteria
Description: partial 16S ribosomal RNA
Rfam family: Bacterial small subunit ribosomal RNA
Source: RNAcentral
UACGUAGGUGGCAAGCGUUGUCCGGAAUUAUUGGGCGUAAAGGGCGCGUAGGCGGCCUGGCAAGUGGAAGGUGAAAUCCCUCGGCUUAACCGAGGAACUGCCCUCCAAACUGCUUGGCUUGAGACCGGGAGAGGUGAGUGGAAUUCCCAGUGUAGCGGUGAAAUGCGUAGAUAUCGGGAAGAACACCCGUGGCGAAGGCGGUUCUCUGGGACGGUACUGACGCUGAGACGCGAAAGCGUGGGGAGCGAACAGG